AUACUUACCUGGGAGGGGAGAUAAGAUGAUCACGAAAGUGGUUUUCCCUGGGUGUAGUUUAUCCUUUGCACUCUGGAUGUCCUGGCCCCUGUGACUCCCCAAAUGUGAGAAAUUCUUACUGCAUAAUUUGUGGUAGUGGGAGACUGUGUUCAUGCUCUCCCC
Otolemur garnettii (small-eared galago) is the source of this 162-nucleotide small nuclear RNA. Its record names the gene U1. It matches the Rfam family "U1 spliceosomal RNA". From Rfam's summary of the family: U1 is a small nuclear RNA (snRNA) component of the spliceosome (involved in pre-mRNA splicing). Its 5' end forms complementary base pairs with the 5' splice junction, thus defining the 5' donor site of an intron. There are significant differences in sequence and secondary structure between metazoan and yeast U1 snRNAs, the latter being much longer (568 nucleotides as compared to 164 nucleotides in human). The record is from Ensembl. NCBI's taxonomy places the organism in Eukaryota, Metazoa, Chordata, Mammalia, Primates, Galagidae.